UCACUAUCGCAUUCAGCGCCGCUUGA
RNAcentral lists this non-coding RNA (26 nucleotides) under Drosophila melanogaster (fruit fly). Lineage: Eukaryota; Metazoa; Arthropoda; Insecta; Diptera; Drosophilidae. The record is from RNAcentral.